GAGGGGCUAACUGUUGGGGUCAAAACCGGUCACGAUGGAAUGAAUGCCUGAAAGUUCCCAGAAAACCAACUCUCGAUCGAUCCUUGAAAAUUAGACAUUCCCGGAAAACGGUUAAAUCAAGUAAAAGACAGUUUUUACCGGAUGCGAACCGAGGAACGUUGAGAAGAGGAUCAGUCUGGAUGAGGUCUCAAUCGUUGUGUCUAUCGAUAUUUUGAAAGGAGUAUCGAUCGAUAUUCUUUAAGAAUUAUCAGUCUUCGGAAAUGUCUAUACUUCUAAAGCACCUCACUUCUUCCUCCCUUUCUCUCUCUAACCCACGUUUUAGAGUGUCCUUGGUGUGUCUGAAUGAGUGAAAAUGAACCAGGGUAGCUGGGUAUAUAUAGAAGUUGCUGGCCAAUAAAAAUGAGCCACCCGAUCGCCUGUGUGUCGUCCCGCAUGCUUCCGGUCGAAUGCGUGGCGACAC
RNAcentral lists this long non-coding RNA (460 nucleotides) under Brassica napus (rape). Its description in RNAcentral is "long non-coding RNA (BNAP_LNC020414)". The record is from RNAcentral. Lineage: Eukaryota; Viridiplantae; Streptophyta; Magnoliopsida; Brassicales; Brassicaceae.